GACGAACGCUGGCGGCGUGCUUAACACAUGCAAGUCGAACGAAGAGCGAUGGAAGCUUGCUUCUAUCAAUCUUAGUGGCGAACGGGUGAGUAACGCGUAAUCAACCUGCCCUUCAGAGGGGGACAACAGUUGGAAACGACUGCUAAUACCGCAUACGAUCUAAUCUCGGCAUCGAGGAUGGAUGAAAGGUGGCCUCUAUUUAUAAGCUAUCGCUGAAGGAGGGGAUUGCGUCUGAUUAGCUAGUUGGAGGGGUAACGGCCCACCAAGGCGAUGAUCAGUAGCCGGUCUGAGAGGAUGAACGGCCACAUUGGGACUGAGACACGGCCCAGACUCCUACGGGAGGCAGCAGUGGGGAAUCUUCCGCAAUGGACGAAAGUCUGACGGAGCAACGCCGCGUGAGUGAUGACGGCCUUCGGGUUGUAAAGCUCUGUUAAUCGGGACGAAAGGCCUUCUUGCGAAUAGUUAGAAGGAUUGACGGACCGAAUAGAAGCCAC
Molecule: ribosomal RNA, 494 nt
Filed under: Veillonella dispar
Lineage: Bacteria; Bacillati; Bacillota; Negativicutes; Veillonellales; Veillonellaceae
Description: bacterial SSU rRNA
Rfam family: Bacterial small subunit ribosomal RNA
Source: RNAcentral